CCUACGGGAGGCAGCAGUGAGGAAUAUUGGUCAAUGGACGCAAGUCUGAACCAGCCAUGCCGCGUGCAGGAAGACGGCUCUAUGAGUUGUAAACUGCUUUUGUACGAGGGUAAACGCAGAUACGUGUAUCUGUCUGAAAGCAUCGUACGAAUAAGGAUCGGCUAACUCCGUGCCAGCAGCCCCGGUAAUACGGAGGAUUCAAGCGUUAUCCGGAUGUAUUGGGUUUAAAGGGUGCGUCGGCGGUCGGAUAAGUUAGGGGUGAAAUCCCGAGGCUAAACUUCGGAAUUGCCUCGGAUACUGUUCGGCUAGAGGGUAGUUGCGGUAGGCGGAAUGUAUGGUGAAGCGGUGAAAUG
RNAcentral lists this ribosomal RNA (353 nucleotides) under uncultured bacterium. RNAcentral's name for it is "partial 16S ribosomal RNA". It matches the Rfam family "Bacterial small subunit ribosomal RNA", at positions 338 to 688 of the family's 1533-position model. The record is from RNAcentral.